RNAcentral lists this ribosomal RNA (500 nucleotides) under uncultured bacterium. RNAcentral describes it as "partial 16S ribosomal RNA". It matches the Rfam family "Bacterial small subunit ribosomal RNA", at positions 29 to 523 of the family's 1533-position model. The record is from RNAcentral.
AUUGAACGCUGGCGGCAUGCCUUACACAUGCAAGUCGAACGGCAGCACGGGAGUAAUCCUGGUGGCGAGUGGCGAACGGGUGAGUAAUAUAUCGGAACGUGCCCAGUCGUGGGGGAUAACGCAGCGAAAGCUGUGCUAAUACCGCAUACGAUCUACGGAUGGAAGCGGGGGAUCGCAAGACCCCGCGCGAUUGGAGCGGCCGAUAUCAGAUUAGCUAGUUGGUGGGGUAACGGCCCACCAAGGCGACGAUCUGUAGCUGGUCUGAGCGGACGAACAGCCGCACGGGAAGUGAGACACGGGCCAGACUCCUAUGGGAGGCAGCAGGGGGGAAUUUUGGACAAUGGGCGCAAGCCUGAUCCAGCAAUGCCGCGUGCAGGAUGAAGGCCUUCGGGUUGUAAACUGCUUUUGUACGGAACGAAACGGCCCUUUCUAAUACAGGGGGCUAAUGACGGUACCGUAAGAAUAAGCACCGGCUAACUACGUGCCAGCAGCCGCCGCCG